CCUGAGUACGACGGAGCACGUGAAAUUCCGUCGGAAUCUGGGAGGACCAUCUCCUAAGGCUAAAUACUCUCUAGUGACCGAUAGUGAACCAGUACCGUGAGGGAAAGGUGAAAAGUACCCCGGAAGGGGAGUGAAAGAGAACUUGAAACCGUGUGCUUACAAGUAGUCAGAGCCCGUUAAUGGGUGAUGGCGUGCCUUUUGUAGAAUGAACCGGCGAGUUACGAUCUGAUGCAAGGUUAAGCAGAAAAUGUGGAGCCGUAGCGAAAGCGAGUCUGAAUAGGGCGAAUGAGUAUUUGGUCGUAGACCCGAAACCAGGUGAUCUACCCUUGGUCAGGUUGAAGUUCAGGUAACACUGAAUGGAGGACCGAACCGACUUACGUUGAAAAGUGAGCGGAUGAACUGAGGGUAGCGGAGAAAUUCCAAUCGAACUUGGAGAUAGCUGGUUCUCUCCGAAAUAGCUUUAGGGCUAGCCUCAAGUGAUGAUUAUUGGAGGUAGAGCACUGUUUGGACGAGGGGCCCCUCUCGGGUUACCGAAUUCAGACAAACUCCGAAUGCCAAAUAAUUUAACUUGGGAGUCAGAAUGUGGGUGAUAAGGUCCAUAUUCGAAAGGGAAACAGCCCAGACCACCAGCUAAGGUCCCAAAAUAUAUGUUAAGUGGAAAAGGAUGUGGCGUUGCCCAGACAACUAGGAUGUUGGCUUAGAAGCAGCCAUCAUUUAAAGAGUGCGUAAUAGCUCACUAGUCGAGUGACACUGCGCCGAAAAUGUACCGGGGCUAAACAUAUUACCGAAGCUGUGGAUUGUCCUUUGGACAAUGGUAGGAGAGCGUUCUAAGGGCGUUGAAGCAUGAUCGCAAGGACAUGUGGAGCGCUUAGAAGUGAGAAUGCCGGUGUGAGUAGCGAAAGACGGGUGAGAAUCCCGUCCACCGAUUGACUAAGGUUUCCAGAGGAAGGCUCGUCCGCUCUGGGUUAGUCGGGUCCUAAGCUGAGGCCGACAGGCGUAGGCGAUGGAUAACAGGUUGAUAUUCCUGUACCACCA
This 1035-nucleotide ribosomal RNA is filed under the name Staphylococcus pseudintermedius. RNAcentral describes it as "partial 23S ribosomal RNA". It matches the Rfam family "Bacterial large subunit ribosomal RNA", at positions 407 to 1449 of the family's 2925-position model. Lineage: Bacteria; Bacillati; Bacillota; Bacilli; Caryophanales; Staphylococcaceae. The record is from RNAcentral.